UCCGGUUUGGCACCGGCAGUCUCCGAUGAGUCCCCGACAUAACUCGCUGGCAACAUCGGACAGGGGUUGCGCUCGUUGCGCCACUUAAGGCAACACCUCACGGCACGAGCUGACGACAGCCAUGCAGCACCUGUGCGGGCUCCCGAAGGAGGACCGUGUUUCCACGGCUUCACCCCGCAUGUCAAGCCCUGGUAAGGUUCUUCGCGUUGCGUCGAAUUAAGCCACAUGCUCCGCCGCUUGUGCGGGCCCCCGUCAAUUCCUUUGAGUUUCAGUCUUGCGACCGUACUCCCCAGGCGGGAUGCUUAAGGCGUUAGCGACGGCACCCGGGGACUAUGUAACCCCUCCGACAUCC
Molecule: unclassified non-coding RNA, 352 nt
Filed under: uncultured Actinomycetes bacterium
Lineage: Bacteria; Bacillati; Actinomycetota; Actinomycetes
Description: uncultured actinobacterium contains 16S-23S intergenic spacer region
Source: RNAcentral